GAUCGAACGCUAGCGGCAGGCCUAAUACAUGACAAGUCGUACGCAACACAGUUGCGAGCAAUCGCAACCGGUGGCGAGUGGCGCACGGGUGAGUAACGCGUAUGUAACCUACCCUUCUCCGGGACAUAACUCCGCGAAAGCGGUGCUAAUAUCCCAUACCAACUCAUCAAGACAUCUUCUUGAGUUGAAAGCAGCAAUGCGGUGAAGGAUGGGCAUGCGUCCCAUUAGCUGGUUGGUGAGGUAAUGGCCCACCAAGGCUACGAUGGGUAGGGGUUCUGAGAGGAAAGCCCCCCCACACUGGUACUGAGACACGGACCAGACUCCUACGGGAGGCAGCAGUAAGGAAUAUUGGGCAAUGGUCGAAAGACUGACCCAGCCAUGCCGCGUGCAGGAUGAAGGCCCUAUGGGUUGUAAACUGCUUUUAGCCGGGAAUAAACACCCGUUUUAUAACGGGCCCGAAGGUACCGGCUGAAUAAGCAUCGGCUAACUCCGUG
This 494-nucleotide ribosomal RNA is filed under the name uncultured bacterium. Its description in RNAcentral is "bacterial SSU rRNA". It matches the Rfam family "Bacterial small subunit ribosomal RNA", at positions 27 to 507 of the family's 1533-position model. The record is from RNAcentral.